UGUGUAGGUGGUGUCGUAAGUUUGGUGUGAAAUCUCCCGGCUUAACUGGGAGGGUGCGCCGAAGACUGCGAUGCUGGAGUAUGGGAGAGGAAAGCGGAAUUCCUGGUGUAGCGGUGAAAUGCGUAGAUAUCAGGAGGAACACCCGCGGUGUAGACGGCUUUCUGGACCAUUACUGACACUGAGACACGAAAGCGUGGGUAACAAACA
Molecule: ribosomal RNA, 207 nt
Filed under: uncultured bacterium
Lineage: Bacteria
Description: partial 16S ribosomal RNA
Rfam family: Bacterial small subunit ribosomal RNA
Source: RNAcentral